This 250-nucleotide ribosomal RNA is filed under the name uncultured bacterium. RNAcentral describes it as "partial 16S ribosomal RNA". It matches the Rfam family "Bacterial small subunit ribosomal RNA", at positions 525 to 775 of the family's 1533-position model. The record is from RNAcentral.
ACGUAGGGGGCAAGCGUUAUCCGGAAUUAUUGGGCGUAAAGAGUACGUAGGUGGUUACCUAAGCACGAGGUAUAAGGCAAUGGCUCAACCAUUGUUCGCCUUGUGAACUGGGCUGCUUGAGUGCAGGAGAGGAAAGCGGAAUUCCUAGUGUAGCGGUGAAAUGCGUAGAUAUUAGGAGGAACACCAGUGGCGAAGGCGGCUUUCUGGACUGUAACUGACACUGAGGUACGAAAGCGUGGGGAGCAAACAG